Molecule: ribosomal RNA, 207 nt
Filed under: uncultured delta proteobacterium
Lineage: Bacteria; Deltaproteobacteria
Description: partial 16S ribosomal RNA
Rfam family: Bacterial small subunit ribosomal RNA
Source: RNAcentral
UGUGUAGGCUGCCCCGCAAGUCGGAUGUGAAAGCCCUGGGCUCAACCUGGGAAGUGCAUUCGAAACUGCGGGGCUGGAGUCCUGGAGAGGAAGGCGGAAUUCUCGGUGUAGAGGUGAAAUUCGUAGAUAUCGAGAGGAACACCGGUGGCGAAGGCGGCCUUCUGGACAGUGACUGACGCUGAGACACGAAAGCGUGGGGAGCAAACA